Molecule: long non-coding RNA, 266 nt
Filed under: Lathyrus oleraceus (garden pea)
Lineage: Eukaryota; Viridiplantae; Streptophyta; Magnoliopsida; Fabales; Fabaceae
Description: Pisum sativum (pea) long non-coding RNA (PSAT_LNC007422)
Source: RNAcentral
UCAAACAGAAAGGGUGAGAAUUCAAAUCAUUAUGAAGAAGUAUAAUCAAGCAUAAUGAUUAAAUCAAUAAUCAAAGGAAUUCAUCACACUUCAUAUAACCAUGUAAAUAAUAUUAACUAACAUUUAUUUCACAUGUUUCAAGCACACACAAAACUCAAGGAGUAUAAUAUUCAAACCCAAUAUCAUAUUCCCAAAAAUACACAUAACUACAAUUAUCACAUAAUCACAUAAUUUACCAAGUUAUGUAUCCAAAUAUCACCAAAUUC